Molecule: RNA transcript, 3257 nt
Organism: Anarrhichthys ocellatus (wolf-eel)
Lineage: Eukaryota; Metazoa; Chordata; Actinopteri; Perciformes; Anarhichadidae
Gene name: methylated-DNA--protein-cysteine methyltransferase
Exons: 6
Source: RefSeq, a predicted model, not a curated record
GAAGAGACUUUCUGCUACGUUUGUUUUGCACAUGGAGUAGAAGCGGACUCCGCACGGACGCAAACGGCUUCAUUCCGGGCAGCGAGAUGAAGAAGCAGAGGGAGAGCCAGUGCACUCAGAAGACCAUCUCAUUGCUGAGCCCCCUGGGGACGAUCCAAGUCAGUGGAUGUGAGAAUGGUGUGCACACCAUCCAGAUCCUAAUGGAUGUCGCACCUGCUGAAAGGAGCAGUGAGGCCCCCCUGAGCCGCGUGGUCAACGAUAGCCCGGCAGAAAUGAGCCCCGAGUUGCAGCGCUGCGUCGAAUGGCUCCAGGCGUACUUCAGUGAGCCGCAGACCACUGGGAGUCUCCCGCUCCCUGCCUUUCACCACCCCGCCCUGCGAGGAGACGCAUUCACCAGCCGCGUGUUGCAGACACUUCUGAGGGAUGUGAAGUUUGGAGAGACGGUCUCGUACAAGCGCCUCGCCGAGAUGGCGGGAAACCCCAGAGCGGUGCGGGCAGUGGGAGGGGCCAUGAGGAGGAACCCGGUUCCUCUCCUCAUCCCCUGCCACAGAGUCAUUUCUAGCAGUGGACAGAGUGGGCCGUACAUGAGCGGCAAGGGCAACCAUCUCAAACAAUGGCUGCUCACCCAUGAGAGGCAGAGAAGCGAAGGCUAAAGCAUGACAGAGGCCAACUGUCCAUUCAGUCCACACACACACACACACACACACACACACACACACACACACACACACACACAAGACUAAUUAAUCCAUACACUAAAUUAGGAAUAUAAAUUGUGGUCCCAAUUUAACAAGGUCAGUUUUAACUUCUCCCUUUACACUUUAUUUAACUGUGUUGGAGGAAAAAAGAAAAAAAAAAAAAAAGAGGAGCCCUAUCAAUGUGCUUCGCUUAUUAUGAUUGACGAUUGAUGAUUAAGUCCUCCAGCUGACACACACCACCAAAGCCGGUGAGUUGGAAUUGGAUGUGACACAUACACAGUUCUGCGUGUUAGGUAAUUCGUUGACGAGGGGCCAAAUUCAUUUAUGGAACAGCGGUAUUGGCAGGCAUGGACACUCUCUGCAAAAACAACGAUAAUCACAGAGGUUUGGCGCGGCGUGACAAGGACUCUUCAGGGAAAGGCCCUUACACGCUGCUUUGUUGGCCGUUCCUCCCUAAGAUGGAGGGAAACAUCCGCCACUGUUCUUAAGAUGAGAGACGCUCCGAGCACGAGGAGAGAGGUUUAUGUAAGGUGUGGAUGAUGGUUAAAGGGCUCGAUUAGCACUUGUUGGGUCUGUUUUGAUGGAAUAGCUUGUGCUUCAUUACAAUUACUGGAAUGUUUCGAUUUUUUUUUUUUUACAAAUAAUUUUAGCUUUACUUUUUGUGUGGAAGCAAUAAACGAUUUUUUUGUGGAAUUGAUGAAAUAAAGGGCCUGAUAAAUCCUCUUUAAUGAAACAUGAGCGGGACCCUGUCUCAAACCAUUUAAUCUCUUUUCGCAUUCUCCAUUUUUUCUGCUAAUGAGCCUUAUUGACAAUCAAACAGAAGCUGUCAUCCCCCAGGAUGCAACACUCCCAGCCCCUGCGUGUUUGUCAUAGUGUCCUGGCAAUCAGAGCUGCCUGCAAGACCAGGCUGGCAGUUAGUGGUUCUCACAGCAGCACUGCCUGAAAAUGGCACACUUCCUGUAGAGUUGCAGCUGCCACCUCUGCUACUUCCAUUACUUUCUAUAGCAUGCAGAUGUUGUAUCAACAUUCCCUGCCAAGGGGACUGCAAUAACUGUGAGAUUCAUGCCAUGUUUCAGAGGCACGUCAAUUUCUCAAGUGGCACAAUUAAAGAGGGAAAUACAGUACCAGGUUUUUCACAGGCGCUGAAAUCGGAAAAGGGCUUUUUCACUUUUUUUUCCAAAGGGGGGCUGUUUCAUAAAGGUUCAGAAAUCCACCCGAUUUUUACUGCCCUUUUCCUGAGUUGAGCUGCUCUGUGAGCCUUUGUGCGGCAGACCUGUCGUGACCCACAGCGGAUAUGGAAAUGGGGCUAAGGUUUUAUGGGCCAAACGGAUUGGACACAGUCAAGCUCAGGGGGCAUGAAUAUUGGAUGUUAUUUCUGCUCCCUUUUUAUGUAAUCCAUUGCCAAUACAUUAUUAAUAGAUGAUAUCAUAUCCAGAACUACUGGACAAAGCACUACGGAGGGGUACUAUGAAAGGAGCUCUAUGUGGUGGAGACUGUGGCAGAAAAUACACUUCAAGUGAUAUUAUUUUAUCACCAUAGCCUAACACUCCCUGACCGGGCAAUCUUAACCGUGUGAUUUUUGGACUAAGUGAAGUUCAUCGAACGAAAUUAUAGUGAAUACUGUGUUUCUACCGGGGGGGGGGAAGUAAAUCCUGCAUUUGUGGGUUUGAAAUGCACUGAAACAUUGAUGACGUAUCAAAUGACACCCAAAUACAAGUUUAAUGGAUUUUGAAGCGCUGGGAUACUUUGCUCAUCCUCCUUGACUGCAGUGAGUGAAGUGGAAAUCUUUGCGAGGAUCUAGAGUUUUCCUUGCAAAGCUGACUCCCAGUGUACAGUAGCAGGGGAUCAGUGACUUAUCUGAUGUACCGAUUCACGGACAGGAGACUGCGCUAAUGUGGGACUGUUUAAAAAAUUUUAAAAAACUGUAUUCCCUGUUUUGUUUCAAACGUGGAGUUGUACAAAAAAAAAAAAAAAGGUCAGACUUCUUAUUUUGAUUCAUUGCCCUCUCAAAAGUUAUGAUCUCGGCAGUCACGGCAGCAGUAUCCUACUCGUGUACAAACUUCACGAGAGUCGCAGCCGCUUUUUCUUCUCCUCACAAAACACAUCACUCAGCGGUUACACAAAUCCUGUCUGUCCGAGAACAAAUCCUGCCCAUCGAGCAGAUAAACUAUCAUCCACCUUUUUAGUUUUUACGGCCCGUCUUGAUACUGCACACAUAUUGGCACAAAGUUAUUAGCGUCCAUUAAAAGUGAACGUAUAAGCCCCUUCAAUAAGAGAUAGGGAGUGGAUGCGUAAGGUAAUAUUCUCUUUUUAAGGUCAGUUUGAAUUGUUUUUUCUCAUGGGAAACGGCAGAUUGAUAAAGAGCAAACAAAACCUGUUUUCUGAAUGCUUGUCCUCCAUGGCCUCAAUGAAGGUUUCAUUCCUUUAUAUCGUCCAGCCCAAUUCCCAGCAUGCACGGCCAUUGUGGCUCUUUCAACUGGAGCUCUCCAUUGACUGGUUCAUUGUCCGGCCGCUCUUUUGUGUGCGCUAUCACCGGAGCACAAUCUUUCACCUGAACAG